Molecule: ribosomal RNA, 389 nt
Filed under: uncultured bacterium
Lineage: Bacteria
Description: bacterial SSU rRNA
Rfam family: Bacterial small subunit ribosomal RNA
Source: RNAcentral
GACGGACGCUGACGGCGUGCUUAACACAUGCAAGUCGAGCGGUAAGGCCCUUUCGGGGGUACACGAGCGGCGAACGGGUGAGUAACACGUGGGUGACCUGCCCUUAGCUCUGGGAUAAGCCUGGGAAACUGGGUCUAAUACCGGAUAUGACUCCAUGACGCAUGUUGUGGGGUGGAAAGCCUUGUGCGGCUAGGGAUGGGCCCGCGGCCUAUCAGCUUGUUGGUGGGGUGAUGGCCACCAAGGCGACGACGGUAGCCGGCCUGAGAGGGCGACCGGCCACACUGGGACUGAGACACGGCCCAGACUCCUACGGGAGGCAGCAGUGGGGAAUCUUGCGCAAUGGGCGAAAGCCUGACGCAGCGACGCCGCGUGAGGGAUGACGGCCUCGG